This is an RNA transcript of Octodon degus (degu), 1385 nucleotides long. It is a transcript of the gene named phosphoribosyl pyrophosphate synthase-associated protein 1 pseudogene, with no coding region annotated. The record is from RefSeq and is a predicted model, not a curated record. Lineage: Eukaryota; Metazoa; Chordata; Mammalia; Rodentia; Octodontidae. The transcript has a single exon.
CCCGGGCGGACGGCUGUCACUGCGCUUUAGGCCGGAUGAAGCCCAAGAAGCUGUUGCUGCUGCCCCCGCUGAACCCGUACUCCGCCUUCCGCGCCCCACGAGCCCAUCCCGCAGCCCCGCCAGCCUUGAACGCCGCCCGCACAGGCUACCGCGUCUUCUCGGCCAACUCCACGGCCGCCUGCACGGAACUGGCCAAGUGCAUCACCGAGCGACUUGGUGCUGAAUUGGGGACAUCUGUUGCAUACCAAGUGACCAACGGAGAAACAAGAGUUGAAAUAAAAGAAUCUGCUCGUGGCCAAGAUAUUUUCAUUACACAGACAAUACCCAGAGCUGUGAAUACAGCUGUGAUGGAGCUACGGAUCAUGGCUUAUGCACUGAAGACUUCCUGUGCCCGGAACAUCGUCGGAGUCACCCCCUACUUCCCCUACAGCAAGCAGAGCAAGAUGAGGAAGAGGGGUUCCAUGCUGUGCAAGCUCCUGGCGUCCGUGCUGGCCAGAGCGGGUUUAACUCACAUUAUCACUGUGAAUCUUCACCAAAAGGAAACACAAGCCUUUUUCAGCUUCCCCGUGGACAACCUUAGAGCCUCAUCUUUCCUGCUUCAGUACAUCCAGGAAGAAAUUCCAAAUGACAGAGAUGCAGUCAUUGUACCUAAAUCUUCUGAUGCUGCAAAAAGAGCUCAGUCGCACGCAGAGAGGCUGCCUCUGGGGUUGGCUGGGAUCCAUGGGGAAGCUCAGUGCGCUGAGCUGGACAUGGAUGAUGGUCGUCAUUCUCUCCCAAUGGUCAGAAACGCUACUGUGCACCCGGGCCUGGAGUUGCCAUUGAUGAUGGCCAAAGAGAAGCCACCAGUAACCGUAGUUGGAGAUGUGGGAGGACGCAUCGCAAUCGUAGUGGGUGACGUUAUUGAUGAUGUUGAGAGUUUCGUUGCUGCUGCGGAGAUCCUAAAAGAGAGGGGUGCUUACAAGAUCUAUGUUAUGGCCACUCACCGCAUCCUGUCUGCGGAGGCCCCCCGCCUGAUUGAGGAGUCCUCCAUUGAUGAGGUCGUGGUGGCGAAUACUGUCCCUCAUGAGAUCCGGAAGCUGCAGUGUCCCAAGAUAAAGACUGUGGAUAUCAGUUUGAUUCUUUCUGAAGCAAUCCAGAGAAUCCACAAUGGAGAGUCCAUGGCCUGAAUAUACAGCUUCAUCACAGCUGUAUUCACAUCUCUGGAUAUUGUCUGUAUAAUGAAAAUAUCUUGGCCACGAACAGAUUCUUUUAUUUCAACUCUUGUUUCUCCGUUGGUCUCUUGGUAUACAACAGAUGUCCCCAAUUCAGCACCAGGUCGCUCGGUGACGCGCUUGGCCAGUUCAGUGCAGGAGGCCGUGGAGUUGGCCGAGAAGACAUCACAGUGA